CUCAGGAUGAACGCUAGCUACAGGCUUAACACAUGCAAGUCGAGGGGCAGCAUGGUCUUAGCUUGCUAAGGCCGAUGGCGACCGGCGCACGGGUGAGUAACACGUAUCCAACCUGCCGUCUACUCUUGGACAGCCUUCUGAAAGGAAGAUUAAUACAAGAUGGCAUCAUGAGUCCGCAUGUUCACAUGAUUAAAGGUAUUCCGGUAGACGAUGGGGAUGCGUUCCAUUAGAUAGUAGGCGGGGUAACGGCCCACCUAGUCUUCGAUGGAUAGGGGUUCUGAGAGGAAGGUCCCCCACAUUGGAACUGAGACACGGUCCAAACUCCUACGGGAGGCAGCAGUGAGGAAUAUUGGUCAAUGGGCGAGAGCCUGAACCAGCCAAGUAGCGUGAAGGAUGACUGCCCUAUGGGUUGUAAACUUCUUUUAUAAAGGAAUAAAGUCGGGUAUGCAUACCCGUUUGCAUGUACUUUAUGAAUAAGGAUCGGCUAACUCCGUGCCAGCAGCCGCGGUAAUACGGAGGAUCCGAGCGUUAUCCGGAUUUAUUGGGUUUAAAGGGAGCGUAGAUGGAUGUUUAAGUCAGUUGUGAAAGUUUGCGGCUCAACCGUAAAAUUGCAGUUGAUACUGGAUAUCUUGAGUGCAGUUGAGGCAGGCGGAAUUCGUGGUGUAGCGGUGAAAUGCUUAGAUAUCACGAAGAACUCCGAUUGCGAAGGCAGCCUGCUAAGCUGCAACUGACAUUGAGGCUCGAAAGUGUGGGUAUCAAACAGGAUUAGAUACCCUGGUAGUCCACACGGUAAACGAUGAAUACUCGCUGUUUGCGGUAUACGGCAAGCGGCCAAGCGAAAGCGUUAAGUAUUCCACCUGGGGAGUACGCCGGCAACGGUGAAACUCAAAGGAAUUGACGGGGGCCCGCACAAGCGGAGGAACAUGUGGUUUAAUUCGAUGAUACGCGAGGAACCUUACCCGGGCUUAAAUUGCAGAUGAAUUACGGUGAAAGCCGUAAGCCGCAAGGCAUCUGUGAAGGUGCUGCAUGGUUGUCGUCAGCUCGUGCCGUGAGGUGUCGGCUUAAGUGCCAUAACGAGCGCAACCCUUGUUGUCAGUUACUAACAGGUUCCGCUGAGGACUCUGACAAGACUGCCAUCGUAAGAUGUGAGGAAGGUGGGGAUGACGUCAAAUCAGCACGGCCCUUACGUCCGGGGCUACACACGUGUUACAAUGGGGGGUACAGAGGGCCGCUACCACGCGAGUGGAUGCCAAUCCCCAAAACCUCUCUCAGUUCGGACUGGAGUCUGCAACCCGACUCCACGAAGCUGGAUUCGCUAGUAAUCGCGCAUCAGCCACGGCGCGGUGAAUACGUUCCCGGGCCUUGUACACACCGCCCGUCAAGCCAUGGGAGCCGGGGGUACCUGAAGUGCGUAACCGCGAGGAGCGCCCUAGGGUAAAACUGGUGAC
Molecule: ribosomal RNA, 1448 nt
Filed under: uncultured organism
Description: SSU rRNA
Rfam family: Bacterial small subunit ribosomal RNA
Source: RNAcentral